Etheostoma spectabile (orangethroat darter) is the source of this 158-nucleotide long non-coding RNA. RefSeq lists it as uncharacterized. The record is from RefSeq and is a predicted model, not a curated record. NCBI's taxonomy places the organism in Eukaryota, Metazoa, Chordata, Actinopteri, Perciformes, Percidae. The transcript has 3 exons.
AAGUUAUGAACAUGGAGGAGUCGAACGGCAGCCUGGCAGCAGAGUUCAGACAUUUGCAACUGAAAGAGCAGAAGGUUGCCGGCAACCGAACCAACGAGGUGCCUCUGAUCGUCACUGAGGAGCUUCACUCGCUGAGCUUCGAGUCGGAGCUGCUGCUC